CUGAAUUGAAGUGCUUGCACUGAUUUUCAGCAUUGGAUGAGUGGCGAACUGGUGAGUAACACGUGGGUAACCUGCCCAGAAGCAGGGGAUAACACUUGGAAACAGGUGCUAAUACCGUAUAACAACUGAAACCGCAUGGCUUCAGUUUGAAAGAUGGUUUCGGCUAUCACUUCUGGAUGGACCCGCGGCGUAUUAGCUAGUUGGUGGAGUAAUGGUUCACCAAGGCAAUGAUACGUAGCCGACCUGAGAGGGUAAUCG
The sequence is a ribosomal RNA, 258 nucleotides long. It matches the Rfam family "Bacterial small subunit ribosomal RNA", at positions 62 to 306 of the family's 1533-position model. The record is from Rfam.